UAACCUGCCCAAGAGAUCGGGAUAACACCUGGAAACAGAUGCUAAUACCGGAUAACAACAGAUGAUGCCUAUCAACUGUUUAAAAGAUGGUUAUGCUAUCACUCUUGGAUGGACCUGCGGUGCAUUAGCUAGUUGGUAGGGUAACGGCCUACCAAGGCGAUGAUGCAUAGCCGAGUUGAGAGACUGAUAGGCCACAUUGGGACUGAGACACGGCCCAAACUCCUACGGGAGGCAGCAGGC
Molecule: ribosomal RNA, 240 nt
Filed under: uncultured Lactobacillus sp.
Lineage: Bacteria; Bacillati; Bacillota; Bacilli; Lactobacillales; Lactobacillaceae
Description: partial 16S ribosomal RNA
Rfam family: Bacterial small subunit ribosomal RNA
Source: RNAcentral